RNAcentral lists this ribosomal RNA (301 nucleotides) under uncultured bacterium. RNAcentral's name for it is "partial 16S ribosomal RNA". It matches the Rfam family "Bacterial small subunit ribosomal RNA", at positions 509 to 807 of the family's 1533-position model. The record is from RNAcentral.
CAGCAGCCACGGUAAUACGUAGGGUGCAAGCGUUAAUCGGAAUUACUGGGCGUAAAGCGUGCGCAGGCGGUUAUGUAAGACAGUUGUGAAAUCCCCGGGCUCAACCUGGGAACUGCAUCUGUGACUGCAUAGCUAGAGUACGGUAGAGGGGGAUGGAAUUCCGCGUGUAGCAGUGAAAUGCGUAGAUAUGCGGAGGAACACCGAUGGCGAAGGCAAUCCCCUGGACCUGUACUGACGCUCAUGCACGAAAGCGUGGGGAGCAAACAGGAUUAGAUACCCCUGUAGUCCCUGUCUCUUAUAC